UACGUAGGGUGCAAGCGUUAAUCGGAAUUACUGGGCGUAAAGCGUGCGCAGGCGGUUCUAUAAGACAGAUGUGAAAUCCCCGGGCUCAACCUGGGAACUGCAUUUGUGACUGUAGAGCUGGAGUACGGCAGAGGGGGAUGGAAUUCCGCGUGUAGCAGUGAAAUGCGUAGAUAUGCGGAGGAACACCGAUGGCGAAGGCAGCUCGCUGGGACGGUACUGACGCUGAGGCGCGAAAGCGUGGGGAGCAAACAGG
Molecule: ribosomal RNA, 253 nt
Filed under: uncultured bacterium
Lineage: Bacteria
Description: partial 16S ribosomal RNA
Rfam family: Bacterial small subunit ribosomal RNA
Source: RNAcentral